AAUAUUGCACAAUGGGGGAAACCCUGAUGCAGCAACGCCGCGUGAAGGAUGAAGGUUUUCGGAUCGUAAACUUCUAUCAGUAGGGACGAAAGAAAUGACGGUACCUGCAGAAUAAGCACCGGCUAACUACGUGCCAGCAGCCGCGGUAAUACGUAGGGGGCAAGCGUUGUCCGGAAUUACUGGGCGUAAAGGGUGCGUAGGCGGCCGAUUAAGUCAGAUGUGAAAUACCACGGCUCAACUGUGGGGGUGCAUAUGAAACUGGUUGGCUUGAGUGCAGGAGAGGAAAGUGGAAUUCCUAGUGUAGCGGUGAAAUGCGUAGAGAUUAGGAGGAACACCAGUGGCGAAGGCGGCUUUCUGGACUGUAACUGACGCUGAGGCACGAAAGCGUGGGGAGCAAACA
RNAcentral lists this ribosomal RNA (400 nucleotides) under uncultured bacterium. RNAcentral describes it as "partial 16S ribosomal RNA". It matches the Rfam family "Bacterial small subunit ribosomal RNA", at positions 360 to 774 of the family's 1533-position model. The record is from RNAcentral.